AUUGAACGCUGGCGGCAUGCUUUACACAUGCAAGUCGAACGGCAGCGGGGAGGAGCUUGCUUCUCUGCCGGCGAGUGGCGAACGGGUGAGUAAUACAUCGGAACGUGUCGAGAAGAGGGGGAUAACCACCCGAAAGGGUGGCUAAUACCGCAUAAAUUCUGAGGAAGAAAGCUGGGGACCUAGGAAGAGGCCUAGCGCUUUUUGAGCGGCCGAUGUCGGAUUAGCUAGUUGGUGAGGUAAAGGCUCACCAAGGCGAAGAUCUGUAGCGGGUCUGAGAGGAUGAUCCGCCACACUGGGACUGAGACACGGCCCAGACUCCUACGGGAGGCAGCAGUGGGGAAUUUUGGACAAUGGGGGCAACCCUGAUCCAGCCAUGCCGCGUGUAUGAAGAAGGCCUUAGGGUUGUAAAGUACUUUUGUUAGGGAAGAAAAGUCAGCUGUGAAUAAUGGCUGAUACUGACGGUACCUAAAGAAUAAGCACCGGCUAACUACGUG
This 494-nucleotide ribosomal RNA is filed under the name uncultured bacterium. RNAcentral's name for it is "partial 16S ribosomal RNA". It matches the Rfam family "Bacterial small subunit ribosomal RNA", at positions 30 to 507 of the family's 1533-position model. The record is from RNAcentral.